GGGAAACGGGUUGAGGGGCCAGCCCCAGGCCCCGACAACAAUUGGGGCA
This is a non-coding RNA of Bos taurus (domestic cattle), 49 nucleotides long. NCBI's taxonomy places the organism in Eukaryota, Metazoa, Chordata, Mammalia, Artiodactyla, Bovidae. The record is from Rfam.